GCCCAACAGCUAGCCCGACCAUACAAAACCAACAAAAAACCAUAAAUAACCCCUAAUACAGUGAAUAAAACUAAACAAACCAUUUUUCCCCUUUAGUAUAGGUGAUAGAAAAGGAACUUAGGAGCAAUAGAGGAAGUACCGCAAGGGACCGCUGAAAGAGAAAUGAAACAACCCAGUAAAGCUUAGAAAAAGCAGAGAUAUAGACUCGUACCUUUUGCAUCAUGAUUUAGCUAGUGUAACCUAAGCAAAGCGCACUUUAGUUUAUUACCCGAAACUAAGUGAGCUACUCCAAGACAGCCUAUAUAAUUAGGGCCAACCCGUCUCUGUGGCAAAAGAGUGGGAAGAGCUUCGAGUAGAGGUGACAGACCUACCGAACUUAGUUAUAGCUGGUUGCCUAAGACUUGAAUAUAAGUUCAGCCCCUUAGCUUCUCCAUUUACAUUGGUUUAAUCCUUAAUGAAUACAAAGAAACUUAGGGAGUUAUUCGAAGGGGGUACAGCCCCUUCGAAGAAAGAUACAACUUUUACAGGAGGAUAAAGAUCAAAAUUACUAAGGCAAAAUACCCAAGUGGGCCUAAAAGCAGCCACCUUUAAAGAAAGCGUUAAAGCUCAAGUAUUAACCUACCCUCAAAUUCUGAUCAUCUAAUCUUAUUCCCCUAAUCUUACUAGGCCAUUCUAUACAACAUAUAGAAGUAACUAUGCUAAUAUGAGUAAUAAGAGAGCACAGCCUCUCUCCUAGCACACGUGUAAAUCGAAACGGACAAACCAUCGAAAUUUAACGGUCCCAAACAAAGAGGGAAUUGAGUAUAAAAAUCAAAGAACUAGAAAAUAUCUCAUCAUUAACCGUUACCCCCACACAGGUGUGCACUAUAAGGAAAGACUAAAAAAGAAAGAAGGAACUCGGCAAACAAUUUUAAGCCUCGCCUGUUUACCAAAAACAUCGCCUCUUGUAUGCUAUAAAAUAAGAGGUCCCGCCUGCCCUGUGACAUUAGUUUAACGGCCGCGGUAUUUUGACCGUGCGAAGGUAGCGCAAUCACUUGUCUAUUAAAUGUAGACCUGUAUGAAUGGCAAGACGAGGGCUUAACUGUCUCCUUUCUCAAGUCAAUGAAAUUGAUCUCCCCGUGCAGAAGCGGGGAUCUAACCAUAAGACGAGAAGACCCUAUGGAGCUUUAGAUGACAGAAUAGCCCAUGUUAAAAUCCCCUAAAUAAAGGCCUGAACAUAGUGGACCCUAUCCUUAUAUCUUUGGUUGGGGCGACCGCGGAGAAAUAAAUAACCUCCACGUGGAAUAGUAACACAGUUAUUUCACCCAAGAGCUGCAGCUCUAGUUAACAGAAUUUCUGACCAUAAGAUCCGGCAACGCCGAUCAACGGACCGAGUUACCCUAGGGAUAACAGCGCAAUCCCCUUUUAGAGCCCAUAUCGACAAGGGGGUUUACGACCUCGAUGUUGGAUCAGGACAUCCUAAUGGUGCAGCCGCUAUUAAGGGUUCGUUUGUUCAACGAUUAAAGUCCUACGUGAUCUGAGUUCAGACCGGAGUAAUCCAGGUCAGUUUCUAUCUAUGUUAUGUUCUUUUCUAGUACGAAAGGACCGAAAAGAAGAGGCCACUGCUUUAAGCAUGCCUUACCCCCACCUAAUGAAAUCAACUAAAUUAGGCAAGAGGCCAUACCCCUCUUGCCUAAGAUAACGGCAC
This 1687-nucleotide ribosomal RNA is filed under the name Inimicus japonicus (devil stinger). RNAcentral's name for it is "16S ribosomal RNA". It matches the Rfam family "Bacterial large subunit ribosomal RNA". The record is from RNAcentral. Lineage: Eukaryota; Metazoa; Chordata; Actinopteri; Perciformes; Synanceiidae.